UACGAAAGGGGCUAGCUUUGUUCGGAAUUACUGGGCGUAAAGCGCACGUAGGCGGCUUGGUAAGUUGGGGGUGAAAUCCCGGAGCUAAACUCCGGAACUGCCUUCAAAACUGCUAGGCUAGAGGAUGCGAGAGGUUGGCGGAAUUCCGAGUGUAGAGGUGCAAUUCGUAGAUAUUCGGACGAACACCAGUGGCGAAGGCGGUCAACGGGAGCAUUUCUGACGCUGAGGUGCGAAAGCGUGGGGAGCAAACAGG
Molecule: ribosomal RNA, 253 nt
Filed under: uncultured bacterium
Lineage: Bacteria
Description: partial 16S ribosomal RNA
Rfam family: Bacterial small subunit ribosomal RNA
Source: RNAcentral